AUGAAGCAGCUGCUGAGCCAGCUCUGGUUUUCGGGAAGUCAGAUGACCUUUUCCCUCCCGCGGCUCUCUGCCUCUCGCUGUCCCUAGGGAGGACACCAUGGACCCACUGAUGGUUCUUUUUUGCCUGCUGUUCCUGUACCCAGGUCCGGCAGACUCGGCUACCUCCUGCCCUCAGAAUGUGAAUAUCUCUGGUGGCACCUUCACCCUCAGCCAUGGCUGGGCCCCUGGGAGCCUUCUCAUCUACUCCUGUCCCCAGGGCCUGUACCCAUCCCCAGCAUCACGGCUGUGCAAGAGCAGCGGACAGUGGCAGACCCCAAGAGCCACCCGGUCUCUGACUAAGGCGGUCUGCAAACCUGUGCGCUGUCCAGCCCCUGUCUCCUUUGAGAAUGGCAUUUAUACCCCACGGCUGGGGUCCUACCCAGUGGGUGGCAAUGUGAGCUUCGAGUGUGAGGAUGGUUUCAUAUUGCGGGGCUCGCCUGUGCGUCAGUGUCGCCCCAACGGCAUGUGGGAUGGAGAAACAGCUGUGUGUGAUAAUGGGGCUGGCCACUGCCCCAACCCAGGCAUUUCGCUGGGCGCGGUGCGGACAGGCUCCCGCUUUGGUCACGGGGACAAGGUCCGCUAUCGCUGCUCCUCGAAUCUUGUGCUCACGGGGUCUGCGGAGCGGGAGUGCCAGGGCAACGGGGUCUGGAGUGGAACAGAGCCCAUCUGCCGCCAGCCCUACUCUUAUGACUUCCCUGAGGACGUCGCCCCUGCCCUGGGCACCUCCUUCUCCCACAUGCUUGGGGCCACCAAUCCCACCCAGAGGACAAAGGAAAGCCUGGGCCGUAAAAUCCAAAUCCAGCGCUCUGGGCACCUGAACCUCUACCUGCUCCUGGACUCUUCGCAGAGUGUGUCGGAAAAUGACUUUCUCAUCUUCAAGGAGAGCGCCUCCCUCAUGGUGGACAGGAUCUUCAGCUUUGAGAUCAAUGUGAGUGUUGCCAUUAUCACCUUUGCCUCAGAGCCCAAAGUCCUCAUGUCUGUCCUGAACGUCAACUCCCGGGAUAUAACUGAGGUGAUCAGCAGCCUGGAAAAUGCCAACUACAAAGAUCAUGAAAAUGGAACUGGGACUAACACCUAUGCAGCCCUAAACAGUGUCUAUCUCAUGAUGAACAAUCAAAUGCGACUCCUUGGCAUGGAAACGAUGGCCUGGCAGGAAAUCCGGCAUGCCAUCAUCCUUCUGACAGACGGAAAGUCCAAUAUGGGUGGCUCUCCCAAAACAGCUGUUGACCAAAUCAGAGAGAUCCUGAAUAUCAACCAGAAGAGGAAUGACUAUCUGGACAUCUAUGCCAUUGGGGUGGGCAAGCUGGAUGUGGACUGGAGAGAACUGAAUGAGCUGGGGUCCAAGAAGGAUGGUGAGAGGCAUGCCUUCAUUCUGCAGGACACAAAGGCUCUGCACCAGGUCUUUGAACAUAUGCUGGAUGUCUCCAAGCUCACAGACACCAUCUGCGGGGUGGGGAACAUGUCAGCAAACGCCUCUGACCAAGAGAGGACACCCUGGCAUGUCACUAUUAAGCCCAAGAGCCAAGAGACCUGCCGGGGGGCCCUCAUCUCCGACCAAUGGGUCCUGACAGCAGCUCACUGCUUCCGCGAUGGCAAGGACCACUCCCUCUGGAGGGUCAACGUGGGAGACCCCAAAUCCCAGUGGGGCAAAGAAUUCCUUAUUGAGAAGGCGGUGAUUUCCCCAGGAUUUGAUGUCUUUGCCAAAAAGAACCAGGGAAUCCUGGAGUUCUAUGGUGAUGACAUCGCCCUGCUGAAGCUGGCCCAAAAAGUAAAGAUGUCCACCCAUGCCAGGCCCAUCUGCCUUCCCUGCACCAUGGAGGCCAAUCUGGCUCUGCGGAGACCUCAAGGCAGCACCUGUAGGGACCAUGAGAAUGAACUGCUGAACAAACAGAGUGUUCCUGCUCAUUUUGUCGCCUUGAAUGGGAGUAAACUGAACAUUAACCUUAAGAUGGGAUUGGAGUGGACAAGCUGUGCUGAGGUCGUCUCCCAAGAAAAAACUAUGUUCCCCAACUUGACAGAUGUCAGGGAGGUGGUGACAGACCAGUUUCUAUGCAGUGGGACCCAGGAGGAUGAGAGUCCCUGCAAGGGAGAAUCUGGGGGAGCAGUUUUCCUUGAGCGGAGAUUCAGGUUUUUUCAGGCCCAGCUUCUCUCCUGCCUUCUAACGCCAUGGGGAGCAAUCUCAGCCCCCAGCUCUGCCUGAUGCCCUUCAUCUUGGGCCUCUUGUCUGGAGGUGUGACCACCACUCCAUUGUCUUUGGCCCGGCCUCAAGGAUCCUGCUCUCUGGAGGGGGUAGAGAUCAAAGGUGGCUCCUUCCAACUUCUCCAAGAGGGCCAGGCACUGGAGUACGUGUGUCCUUCUGGCUUCUACCCGUACCCCGUGCAGACACGUACCUGCAGAUCCACGGGGUCCUGGAGCACCAUGCAGACUCAAGAUCAAAAGACUGUCAAGAAGGCAGAGUGCAGAGCAAUCCACUGUCCAAGACCACAGGACUUCGAGAACGGGGAAUACAGGCCCCGGUCUCCCUACUACAAUGUGAGUGAUGAGAUCUCUUUCCACUGCUAUGACGGUUACACUCUCCGGGGCUCUGCCAAUCGCACCUGCCAAGUGAAUGGCCGGUGGAGUGGGCAGACAGCGAUCUGUGACAACGGAGCGGGGUACUGCUCCAACCCAGGCAUCCCCAUUGGCACAAGGAAGGUGGGCAGCCGGUACCGCCUUGAAGACAGCGUCACCUACCACUGCAGCCGGGGGCUUACCCUGCGUGGCUCCCAGCGGCGAACGUGUCAGGAAGGUGGCUCUUGGAGCGGGACGGAGCCUUCCUGCCAAGACUCCUUCACGUACGACACCCCUCAAGAGGUGGCCGAAGCUUUCCUGUCUUCCCUGACGGAGACCAUAGAAGGAGUUGAUGCCGAGGAUGGGCACAGCCCAGGGGAACAACAGAAGCGGAAGAUCGUCCUAGACCCUUCAGGCUCCAUGAACAUCUACCUGGUGCUAGAUGGAUCAGACAGCAUUGGGGCCAGCAACUUCACAGGAGCCAAAAAGUGUCUAGUCAACUUAAUUGAGAAGGUGG
Piliocolobus tephrosceles (Ugandan red Colobus) is the source of this 3106-nucleotide RNA transcript. It is a transcript of the gene named complement C2, with no coding region annotated. The record is from RefSeq and is a predicted model, not a curated record. Lineage: Eukaryota; Metazoa; Chordata; Mammalia; Primates; Cercopithecidae. The transcript is spliced from 23 exons.